AAUAAAAUUUUUUAUAGUUUAAAAAUUUAUUAUAAAUUUAUUUUACAUAUAAAUUUUAGUGUUAAUUUUUAAUUUAUUUAAAUAAUAAUUAAUAUUUAUUUGUAGUAAUUAAAAUUAAAAAUUUAAGUAAUUAAGAUUUAGUAAUAUUUAAAUUAAUAACAAAUUUUGUGCCAGCAGUUGCGGUUAUACAAAAAUUAAAUUAAAUUUUUUUAGGGAUUAAUUAAUAAUGAAUUAUAUAAUAAAAUUAAAAUUUAAAUUAUUAAGUGAAAUUUUAAUUUAUGAAAAUUUUAUAUUGAAUUAUGAAUUAAAAAAUUUUAUUAAAAACUAGGAUUAGAUACCCUAUUAUUAAAAAUUUAAAUUAAUAAUACUAAAAUAGUAUAUAAUUAUUUAUAAAAACUUAAAUAAUUUGGCGGUAUUUUUGUUUAUUUAGAGGAAUCUGUUUAUUAAUUGAUAUUCCACGAAUAAAUUUACUUAAUUUAUUUAAUUUUGUAUAUCGUUGUUAUAAAAAUAUUUUAAAAUAAUAAUAAUAUUUUAAUUUUUAUAUUAAAAGUUAAAUCAGAUCAAGAUGCAGAUUAUAAUUAAGAAUAUAAUGGAUUACAAUAAAUUUAUUUAAUUGGAUAUUAUUUUUAAAAAUUAAUUGAAAUUGGAUUUAAAUGUAAUUUUAUUUAAUUUAUUAAAAUGAUUUUAAUUUAAAAUAUGUACAUAUUGCCCGUCGCUUUCAUUAAUAAAUUGAAAUAAGUCGUAACAAAGUAGAGGUACUGGAAAGUGUUUCUAGAAAGAGUA
This 783-nucleotide non-coding RNA is filed under the name Bombyx mandarina (wild silkworm). Lineage: Eukaryota; Metazoa; Arthropoda; Insecta; Lepidoptera; Bombycidae. The record is from RNAcentral.